AGAGUUUGAUCCUGGCUCAGGACGAACGCUGGCGGCGCGCCUAACACAUGCAAGUCGAACGGAGCUUGACGGAAUGAUUCUUCGGAUGAAUGAAAUUAAGCUUAGUGGCGAACGGGUGAGUAACGCGUGAGCAAUCUGCCUUAAAGAGGGGGACAACAGUUGGAAACGACUGCUAAUACCGCAUAAGCCCACACUACCGCAUGGUAGAGUGGGAAAAGAAUUUAUCGCUUUAAGAUGAGCUCGCGUCUGAUUAGCUAGUUGGUGGGGUAACGGCCUACCAAGGCAACGAUCAGUAGCCGGACUGAGAGGUUGAUCGGCCACAUUGGGACUGAGACACGGCCCAGACUCCUACGGGAGGCAGCAGUGGGGAAUAUUGCACAAUGGGGGAAACCCUGAUGCAGCGACGCCGCGUGAGGGGAGAAGGUAUUCGUAUUGUAAACCUCUGUCUUCGGGGACGAUAAUGACGGUACCCGAGGAGGAAGCACCGGCUAACUACGUGCCAGCAGCCGCGGUAAAACGUAGGGUGCUAGCGUUGUCCGGAAUUACUGGGUGUAAAGGGAGCGCAGGCGGUCAUUUAAGUUGGAAGUUAAAUCUACGGGCUCAACCCGUAUACGCUUUCAAAACUGAGUGACUUGAGUGAAGUAGAGGUAGGCGGAAUUUCCGGUGUAGCGGUGGAAUGCGUAGAUAUCGGAAGGAACACCAGUGGCGAAGGCGGCCUACUGGGCUUUUACUGACGCUGAGGCUCGAAAGCAUGGGUAGCAAACAGGAUUAGAUACCCUGGUAGUCCAUGCUGUAAACGAUGAAUAGUAGGUGUGGGCUGGAAACAGUCCGUGCCGCAUUAACACAAUA
RNAcentral lists this ribosomal RNA (849 nucleotides) under uncultured bacterium. RNAcentral's name for it is "bacterial SSU rRNA". It matches the Rfam family "Bacterial small subunit ribosomal RNA", at positions 8 to 862 of the family's 1533-position model. The record is from RNAcentral.